This 743-nucleotide long non-coding RNA is filed under the name Mus musculus (house mouse). Its description in RNAcentral is "predicted gene, 33115". The record is from RNAcentral. Lineage: Eukaryota; Metazoa; Chordata; Mammalia; Rodentia; Muridae.
AGAGAGGAACUCUAAGACAUAGUGAGGUGUGGGAGAUUUGCCACCAGACCUAGGGGAAGUCAGUCGUAUGAAACUGAGGAGAGGUAGGCUCACUGGUGCACACCCCUACUUCCAGCCAUUCAGGAGGCUGAGGCUGAGGCUGAGGAAGUGCUUGGGUCCAGGAGGUCUGGACUAUAGGAUGCUAUGCUGUGAGACAUCUCAUCUUGCCUAGGGAAGGAGCAAACCAGCAGAGUUCAUUACAGCCACGUUUGUGGACUCUGCUCUCUCAUCUCUCCCUCCCAGUUUGGCUUCCUACCUCUGUCUUCGCGGCUUCCAGCUCUUUAGGAUGUGUGAAGACUCAGACACCAUCAGCACUGAAGUAGACAUCGGUAGAUCCCGUGAGUGGUUAACAUUUUCAACAUGUCUGUGAAAACCAACUGGAAAAAUGAGCACAAGAGGAGCAGACGGAAUUUUUACGUGGUGUCUUUGUCUCCUAGCGUGCCUAGCUCAGCUUCAGGACAAGGCGAGAGAUGCGAUGUUUCCCUUGCCAUUGGAAAAGACAAUUCCAAAUUAGUCUCCUUGUCAAGCCCUUUACUCACUGACCUCUCCUCACAACAACAACAACAACAACAACAAAGGCAUUCAAUCAGAGAGCUGGGCUUCCAACCAAGCCUGUGAAGAAUCUUCCCCUUGCUUCCCCCUUUGCGUCUCUCAGAAACCUUUGGGCCACCACAGGAAGGACAUAAAAUGACUUCAUCUCACCA